Molecule: non-coding RNA, 24 nt
Filed under: Cricetulus griseus (Chinese hamster)
Lineage: Eukaryota; Metazoa; Chordata; Mammalia; Rodentia; Cricetidae
Source: RNAcentral
UUCGCUAUGAGAGCCUGACAGACC